This 440-nucleotide ribosomal RNA is filed under the name uncultured bacterium. RNAcentral's name for it is "partial 16S ribosomal RNA". It matches the Rfam family "Bacterial small subunit ribosomal RNA", at positions 338 to 795 of the family's 1533-position model. The record is from RNAcentral.
CCUACGGGUGGCAGCAGUGGGGAAUAUUGGACAAUGGGGGAAACCCUGAUGCAGCGACGCCGCGUGAGCGAAGAAGUACCUAGGUGUGUAAAACUCUAUCAGCAGGGGAGAAAAUGAAGGUACCUGAGUAAGAAGCUCCGGCCAAAUACGAGCCAGCAGCCGCGGUAACACGUAAGGAGCAAGCGUUAUCCGGAUUUACUGGGCGUAAAGGGAGCGUAGGCGGGCUGCUAAGUGUGAUGUGAAAUACCGGGGCUCAACCUUGGGGCUGCAUUUGAAACUGGCAGGCUUGAGUGCAGGUGAGGUAGGCGGAAUUCCUGGUGUAGCGGUGAAAUGCGUAGAUAUUACGAGGAACACCGAUGGCGAAGGCAGCCUACUGGACUGUGACUGACGCUGAGGCUCGAAAGCGUGGGGAUCAAACAGGAUUAGAUACCCCAGUAGUC